Molecule: ribosomal RNA, 468 nt
Filed under: uncultured bacterium
Lineage: Bacteria
Description: partial 16S ribosomal RNA
Rfam family: Bacterial small subunit ribosomal RNA
Source: RNAcentral
GACGAACGCUGGCGGCGUGCUUAACACAUGCAAGUCGAACGGAAAGGCCCUGCUUUUGUGGGGUGCUCGAGUGGCGAACGGGUGAGUAACACGUGAGUAACCUGCCCUUGACUUUGGGAUAACUUCAGGAAACUGGGGCUAAUACCGGAUAGGAGCUCCUGCUGCAUGGUGGGGGUUGGAAAGUUUCGGCGGUUGGGGAUGGACUCGCGGCUUAUCAGCUUGUUGGUGGGGUAGUGGCUUACCAAGGCUUUGACGGGUAGCCGGCCUGAGAGGGUGACCGGACACAGUGGGACGGAGAGACUGACCAGACUCCUCCGGGAGGCAGCGGUGGGGGAUAUUGACGAAUGGGCGGAAGAGGGACGCCGCAACGCCGCGUGCGGGAUGACGGGCUGCGGGUUGAAAACAGCUUUCGCCGGGGAAGAAGGGGGAGGGACGGUAAUGGGUAAAGAAGCACCGGCUAACGACGUG